GGGCGAUUAGCUCAGUUGGCGAGAGCGCCUCCCUUACAAGGAGGAGGUCACCUGUUCAAUUCAGGUAUCGCCCA
RNAcentral lists this transfer RNA (74 nucleotides) under bacterium. RNAcentral describes it as "tRNA-Val". It matches the Rfam family "tRNA". From Rfam's summary of the family: Transfer RNA (tRNA) molecules are approximately 80 nucleotides in length. Their secondary structure includes four short double-helical elements and three loops (D, anti-codon, and T loops). The record is from RNAcentral. RNAcentral also lists the same sequence under 3 other names.